Molecule: long non-coding RNA, 3694 nt
Organism: Pongo pygmaeus (Bornean orangutan)
Lineage: Eukaryota; Metazoa; Chordata; Mammalia; Primates; Hominidae
Exons: 4
Source: RefSeq, a predicted model, not a curated record
GAUCCAAGUUGUAUGGAGGGUGAGUUAGAGCUCAGAGGAAUGCAAGGCAGGGAAGUAUCAUUCUUUCACCCUUCACGGAGAAGUAAACUGAGGCUGGGAGAAGAUUAGGAGCCAAAGGCUCACAGCUAGUUCCAACCCAGGUCUUGAAGCUCCAGCAUCAUUGGCCCUGCUCCUAGGAUAUGGCUGCCUGCCAGUUUCCCUGGGCAAAUGGACGCCUGUUCCCAAGGACCAUCUAGAAAGGAAAGUUGGGCACUGGGAGAUGGAAAGAGACUGCAUUAGGGAGGAGGGUCCUGGGGAAGUCAAAGCUUCCACACCUGUUCUCAAAGCCCCUCUGAGGUAUCCCCUCCCAGAUUCCAGAUCAGGUUUGGGGCUCCCAGGAGCCCUCGCUUUCUCCCCAAUAACCUCCUCCCCGGGCUCUGGGUCCUGCCCUUUGGGCUACAUGGCACAGCCUGUUUCCCUGGCCCUGCGAAGGUCCCUCCAGAGGCUGCUGUGCUCCAAGGCACACACAGACCCCAGGCCUGGCCUCCCUGAGCUGUUCCUCUCCACCCUGGCCUCUAUCCCCUAUGCGGUCUCAUCUGGAGUAAGCCUGAAGCUCGCCUUGCCAAGCCACCAUCACAUUGGCUCUUCCAGCAAUAAGCCUAAGAAAUGUAGUCUCCUCAGGCCUAUGAGGUUCUCUAGAACCCCCAGAUCUUUUUGCCAACUCGUCUUUCUCCAGCUGAAAUGCUACAGCCUCUUGGUCUAUCCAUGUAGAGCUGUGAUGGUGUCAAGAAGGAAGUGAGACGCCCCUGGGACACUCCCAGGAGGGAGCAGAGGCUCUGGGGCUCCUGGCAGAUGGGGAAACUGAGGCUCAGACGGUUAUAGGGGCUUGAGUCAGCCACCGUCAAGCUGGCCCCAGGACUCCUUCCCCUCUCCUGUGCUCGCUGUCAGCCCAGCUGUCUCCUUAGACUUCUCCUGGACAGAUGAGAAGACAGUGGCCUGGGAAGUUUCAGGUCAUGCAAGGUCAUGCAGCUAGAAGGCUGCAGGGCAGAGAUUGGAAUCCUGGCCUGUCAGACUCCAGAGUUCAAGUUCCCAUCCAGCACACGCCCAGGGCCUCCCUGCACAGCCUGGAUUCUCCAGUACAGCCUGGAUGCCAGAUGGUGCUGGGGUGGGGGCUGGGGCCAUGCUUAGAUCAGGGCCUGGGCUAAAACCAAGAGGAAUGACUGUCCAUGCAGGGCACUGUCUCUGGGUGGACCACAGGACUUACCCACUCAUCUGUUGGUCCUUCAAAUGCUAUGACUGCUGUGGGAUCUUGAAAGGGCUUCUGGGCAGAGCCAGCAAGGGGACAUGGACCAGAAACUAAGUAAAAAGAGGGCACAGGGCUGGGAAGGGAGCAGAGGGCCAUGUAGAAGCAGAGCCAAGAUGUCUGCAUUGCAGCUUUGAGAAGGACAAAGAAGCCUUGAGAUGGCACAUGUCCUUAGGAGGAGGCUGGGCUGGGGACUCCAGACCCAGGGCUAUAAUGAUGGCAGGAGCCUCAACCAACAGCCAGGGCCUUGUGUGUGAACGAGGGGAUGGGUAGGGCGGGGAGCAGAGAGGUCCUGGAGACAGGCCCAGCUCAGGGUGAGACAUUUGGAGCAGAAGACGUCCUGGAGAGGGGCCUGGUUCAGGGUGAAGUCCAGCAAUGCUUGCCUGCUCUAAGUGCCAAGCUUCUCCUGCACGCUAGAGCUCACCACAGGAGGGAAGGCCUAAGGGAAGCACUGUCCAGUCUCACCCCCAGCAUCUGCAGCCACCGUAGUCAUAUUCAACCAGAUGACAGUAAACCACGUUACCCCUUACUGAGUGCCUGCUCUGUACCAGGAACAUAUGCUUGUCAUGACCCUGAGUGCAGAGAACUCACCAACUUGCCCAAGGGUAAAGCCACCAGUGGCCAAAGCGAGGCUGCAGAUCCAGGCUGCUGGCCAGGAGGCAUCCACGCCCUGCCUGCUGUGUCCCAGGGCCAGAGGCAGCAUCACAUCAUCCUUUCCCCAAGCAAUGGGGAAAGUGAACUUUCACUUGAACCCAAUCUGGACCCUACCAAAAGAAGAUGGCUCUGAAACACUCCUUGCAGGAAUACAAAAGACCCCUUGUCAGGGAAAGGUUGGGCUGCUGAUCCCCAGAGCUCCCCAGAGGGGCCAUUUCCUGUGCAGGAGUACAAAGCAGGAAGCUUCAUAUGCUACAUUUUUGCAGUGCGUUUUGGUGAAGAAUAACCUAUCCUUAGGAAUACUGCAUCUAAAGCCUGAACUCACCAUGACAUAAAGGGACUGAGGAGUUUCCACACAUCCCCCACAGAUCUUCCUUGUUGGGGGAAGCUGAGUCUGGUUUGGGGCAACAGCAACAGCCUAAGGGGACUGUCUUAAUCUGUUCAGGCUGCCAUAACAGAAUACCACAGACUGGGUGGCAUAUAAACAAUUGAAAUUUAUUUCUCACAGUUCUGGAGGCUGGGAAGUCUGAGAGCAAGGCACCAACAGAUUCUGUGUCUGGUGAGAGUUGCUUCUUGGAUCAUUAGAUGGCCAUCUUCUUGCUGCAUCCUCACAUGGCAGAAGGGGCAAGGAAGUUCUCCGUGGUCUCUUUUAAGAAGGCACCAAUCCCAUUCAUGAGGGUUCUGCCCUCAUGACCUAAUCACCCCCAAAGGCCCCAUCUCUUAACACUAUCACAUUGGGUGUUGGGAUUUCAAUAUAAGAAUUUUGGGGAGACACAAAUACUCAGAUCAUAGAGAGCUUGCAGGAAGGCCUGGAUGUGAUUCUGGAGCAUAGUGAUUCUGGAGCAGGUGUACAUGCAGUCUGCUCUCACAGCCUCAGAUAAUUUUCUGUGGUUCUUUAGUGGUGGGAAUUUAGAAACAUCAGAAGCUGCAUGUGCUCACUGGAGUUUGUCACUUGGAAUGAGGCUUACGUUAAUUGCAUAGUUAUCUGUAAUGUGUUCUCCUUCUCCAGGAUGGGUAUUGGCAUUUUCUUUCCAUUCUUUGGUUGUCUCUAGAAAGCCUCAGACAUAGCUCAAAAACAACAGGUCCAAAGCAGGAUUCCUGAUUUCUUCCCCAAACCUGGCCCCUGUACCCUCAUCCCAGACUUCCUCCCUCCCACACCAUCAUCCACCCAGCACUCUGGCCAGAAACUGUCGUCCUCAGACUUCCAUCCUCCUCACCCCUUUCACUGCCAACUCUUGCUCCUCAUCCCACCUGCAUCUUCCAUUUCCACAGCCAUCACCAUCUCUCAACGCACUACCAGCAUGGCAUGAUGUCUGGUACCCACAGCCCAUUCUUCACACGGCAGCUGGAGAGAUCUUCCAGAUAAACCAGGGCAGGUCACUGCUCAACUUGAAACCCUUCCAUAACAUCCAAUGGCCUAAGAAUAACAUCCAGACUCUUCAUCCAGCCUGUAACAUCUUCAUGUGGUCUGGUGUCUGCCUUCCCCUCCCACACUGUGCUCCAGUCAUACUCCAAACUCCUUCCUGCCUCAGGGCCUUUGCACAUGCUAUUACCUUCCCAGAACACCCUUCCCUGCCUCUGCCUCUGCAUAUACUUGACUCCUUCUCAUCUUCAAGCUUCAGCUUAAAUGUCAUCUCCUCAGAGAAGCCUUUCUUGACCUCCUUAUUUCCUUAUUUAAAUGAGCUCCCCACACCUCAGUAACUUCCUUCGGAGUUUUUCAUCACAAUUUGUAAUUGUUUUACUUUUCUGCGAGUUUCC